UGGGGCUCACACCGUUUUAACCACCAGCCAGUGUCAGACAUUUGACUCGUACAUUUCCCUCUGGUCUCGGAGGUUCUGGCAGCAGGUCUGGCUCGUGCACAUGGUUAGCUUACAGCUAACCCAACCCAAUAAACAGUGAUUCCCUAAUCGAAUCUGAUACUAGUUCAAGUUCAGUUUCCCCCACGUGAUGCGGUCCCGCCCUCCUUCCCGGGGCUCCUUUCCCUUCCUUUGUGGCCACUCUCCUGCUUUCUCACCUUCGCAUGUCUCCUCCGGUGAACGCCACGUGCCUGAAGACGUCUUCCCGUGACAGAGGAGAAGUUCUGAACUGGAAACCAGUGGGUGCCCGGAGCCCCCUCGGGCCCUCCUGUCACCCGUGGGCUGGACGCCUCAGGACCCUCACCCUCUCCCUGCGCCUGUACCUGCUGGAAGCCGGCACUGCGUGCCUCUCCCUGUCAGGAAAGAAUUAAAGACAACAUCUAGGACGGUCUCUGUACAUGGAAAAAUGAGAAUGUAUUCGCAGACAAAGCGUGACCUGAGGGAGAAGCCUGCCGGAAGCUGGAUUUUCAAUAACAUAAGACAAUAAAGCUUAGACGCCUAA
Molecule: long non-coding RNA, 598 nt
Organism: Myotis brandtii (Brandt's bat)
Lineage: Eukaryota; Metazoa; Chordata; Mammalia; Chiroptera; Vespertilionidae
Exons: 2
Source: RefSeq, a predicted model, not a curated record